This 400-nucleotide unclassified non-coding RNA is filed under the name plant metagenome. RNAcentral describes it as "partial contains 5.8S ribosomal RNA, internal transcribed spacer 2, and large subunit ribosomal RNA". The stretch from base 1 to 111 matches the Rfam family "5.8S ribosomal RNA", at positions 50 to 154 of the family's 154-position model. The record is from RNAcentral.
AAAAUGCGAUAAGUCAUGUGAAUUGCAGAUAUCAGUGAAUCAUCGAAUUUUUGAACGCAGCACGCACUUUUAGGGUUUUUUACACUCUAAAGUAUGUCUGUUCGAGUGUCACAUUUAUAAUAAUCAAAUAAAAAAAAUUUAUUUUUUAUAUUUGAAGAUGAAAGUUCAAAUUUUAUUUGAUCUUUUUAAAUAUAUAAUUAGGAUUUUUUUUUAAUUAAAAAAAUUUUAAAAUAUAGUUAAUUAAGUAUAUUAAAAUUUAAAUUUUUAAUACACAAUAUUUCUAUAUUUUUUUUUAAUUUAAAAAAAUUAUCUUUUUUUAUAAUUUAUCAAAAAAAAAAAAAAAAAAAAAAAUCAUAAACAUUGACAUCGAAUUAGACAAGGCUACCCGCUGAACUUAAGC